GAUGAACGCUGGCGGCGUGCCUAAUACAUGCAAGUCGAGCGGACGGACGAGAAGCUUGCUUCUCUGAUGUUAGCGGCGGACGGGUGAGUAACACGUGGAUAACCUACCUAUAAGACUGGGAUAACUUCGGGAAACCGGAGCUAAUACCGGAUGAUAUUUUGAACCGCAUGGUUCAAAAGUGAAAGACGGUCUUGCUGUCACUUAUAGAUGGAUCCGCGCUGCAUUAGCUAGUUGGUAAGGUAACGGCUUACCAAGGCAACGAUGCAUAGCCGACCUGGGAGGGUGAUCGGCCACACUGGAACUGAGACACGGUCCAGACUCCUACGGGAGGCAGCAGUAGGGAAUCUUCCGCAAAGGGCGAAAGCCUGACGGAGCAACGCCGCGUGAGUGAUGAAGGUCUUCGGAUCGUAAAACUCUGUUAUUAGGGAAGAACAUAUGUGUAAGUAACUGUGCACAUCUUGACGGUACCUAAUCAGAAAGCCACGGCUAACUACGUG
RNAcentral lists this ribosomal RNA (497 nucleotides) under uncultured bacterium. RNAcentral describes it as "partial 16S ribosomal RNA". It matches the Rfam family "Bacterial small subunit ribosomal RNA", at positions 28 to 507 of the family's 1533-position model. The record is from RNAcentral.